CAAGGCGUAGCUAUAAAAAAAGUAUUCAGCUUACACCUGAAAGAUAUCUGCUCACACCAGAUCGCCUUGA
Molecule: transfer RNA, 70 nt
Filed under: Ceryle rudis
Lineage: Eukaryota; Metazoa; Chordata; Aves; Coraciiformes; Cerylidae
Also listed under: 1 other name
Description: tRNA-Val
Source: RNAcentral